Molecule: long non-coding RNA, 2483 nt
Filed under: Pocillopora damicornis (cauliflower coral)
Lineage: Eukaryota; Metazoa; Cnidaria; Anthozoa; Scleractinia; Pocilloporidae
Description: uncharacterized LOC113666524
Source: RNAcentral
ACCAAAAUAACGAUUAUCGUUAUUUCUUAAUUGGCCCUGAAAUAACGAAUAGCAUAAUUUCAGUGCAUGAGACCUUCGGGCUCGAAGCUUGGGAACUAGUAUUCAGGGAAAGAUAAAAUGGCGGCUUACGGCGGCGAAGGAAAUCUCAGUAGUUUAAUAUUUUAGCGUGAAAAGGCUUGGGUGUUGUGAUCUGGUUCUCAAGUAAAAAAAAUCACGGUCUGCAAUGGCCCUACCACCUUUUGAACAACAAGAAAACAUUGAAACGGUGGUAAAAAGGAGCAAGUUUCGAAGUCUAACGAAAGAUGGGUGGUCAUUAUCCAUUAUUUUUGGAAGUCGAUGCUGAUGAGAAAGAAAAAAUGUUUACGAUUAUUUCUUCUCUCGAACAUUGUACUAUUUAGGUACCAAAUAAUCUUGAUACUGAAGACCAUUGCAUCCUAUUAUGAGAAAUUUACCCCCUGAUUGCUUUUUCAACAUGUAUGAUGUAAUAUACCUUGUGAUUUGUGGGAUUUUCACAUGUAAACUAGAAAUACCUGUAGAGGGUAAUGAUGUACUUAAUGCAAAGUGUUUUGGUACAAAGUCUGCUUUACUGUAAUCUACCUGAAGGUGCUUUUUAUAUGCUAGUAACACUUGCACAGCCCAGUUAAAAUGUUCUUUAGUAGUAGACAAGCUGGCUGUUGUAAUUAUAGGCAGCAGAGGCCAAACCUCAUCCUGAAAAGCAGUCUGAAAGGUGUGAAGUCAGUGGAAGAUACUUCAUCAUAGGCGGGCAAAUUGCAGGCUGUCAGCCCAUUUUGAGUGAGUAGUUAAACUCAAGAUCGGCUAUUUUAACUAAUUUUAUUGAGAGCCAAAUCCUGCAAGGCUUAUAUUCUGUAUUAAUUUGAAGUGUUACUUUUAUGUUUCUUAUUUUGCAGUAAGUGGGCUUGUUGUGGCCAUUUUUCUCUCAAACAUUUUUUCAGCCUAGUCAAAAUGUUUUUUAGAAGUAGGCAAGCUGGCUAUAGUAAUAGAAGGUAGAGGCCAAACCUUGUCCAGACUAGACGCCUAACAAAUGUUCUGUGUGGACAGCCAAAUCCCUGGUUACCGGCAAAUUUUGACUAGGCUAUUUGUUAUUUAGCUACUAAGUAAUCUUAUUAUUAAAGAUUACUGCAUUCCUUCUUAAUAAUUUGCUGCCAAUUGUAUGCUGUAUAUAGCUUAUGAUUUGUGUGAUUUUCAAGAGUAAAUUAGAAAUACCUGAAGAUGGUAAUGAUGUACUAGAUAACGUACUUGAUGCAAAGCAAUUUUGGCACAAAGUGUAUGGCUUGUUCUCUGGUGAUUUUAACAUGCUAAUAAGAUUUGUUAUUCAAAUAAUAUACAUCAACUGGAAUGGGAAUAUUGAAAGAAAAAUAAUAAUAUUUAACCAUAACAAGUUUUGGUUUUAUGUCCAAAUUAAGCACUUAGUUGAAGAUCACUGCACUGAUCCGGCCCCGAAGGCCAAAAAAGUGCUGUCUGCUGUUAGUUUAAUUUUUGUCAUAUCUAUUGAUUUAUUUCAUUUAUCAAUGUUUCUUUGAGUUAUAAUUCAUUGACCUCUUUCAAUAGUGCAGGUUCGCUCAUGUAACCUAAUCCCACAUGUAUGUAUGUACAAUCUCAGUUGAAAUUUUGAGUGGCAGGCAAGCUGGCAAUAGUAAUAGGCAGCAGAGGCCAAAUCUUGUCCUGAAUAGCCCUAACCCUAAGCAAAAACCUCUGUGAUAACUUGGUAGUCUAAGAUGUAAAACAUUUUAAUAAUAAGGUAAAGCUUGAUCAUUCUUAAGAGUUUGCAUCUGUUCUAAAAGUUUUGGGGAGAGUUAGGGGAGCAUUAUUUAUACAAAUGUAUUUAAAAAGUAACAAAAAAAUAAAAAGAACUAGGGCAAAAUCCCAAUUUGCUUUAAAAGUUUAUUUUAUUAAGAGCAUAAUUCUGGAUAUAGCUUGGGAUUUGUGUGAUUUUCACAAAUUGUUAGGUUGUUAUGUAAACUUAAUUUACAGGAACCUUGUUAAUUUUCAGCUUCAAGAACAAGUACAUAAUUGCAGGAAAAGCUUGAAGCUUGAAAAAUUGACUGAUGAAACUGGAACAGAUGUCAUGAGAUUUGUACAAUAGGUGGGCAUGGGAGGGACCAAGAAUUAAAGAAUUCAUUGAUUCUCUUACACCUUUUGUCUGCAUAGUGUGCUUCUGUAGAGCUUAGUUAUUGCUGUAGAAAACUUUUUUGGAGGGCCCCUGAGAUCACUCACUUUUGAGCUGGUUACCCCUAGGGAAGAGGAUAUCUGUACUUAUUAUCUCCCUGGGGGGGGGGGGUGAAGGGUUAAAGACUGAUUCUUCUCCAGUAGCCACAAGUGCCCCUGCAUAUGGAAAUUUUGCACACUAUUAAAGGGCUAGUACCCUCAUUUCAUACUUGAAUUUCUAAUUUAGUGUAAGUUAUGAAAAAUAAUGAAUGUAAAUUCAUCUUGGUUGUACAGGUUAUAUCCAGCAGUCCUUAAAA